AACGAACGUUAGCGGCGCGCCUAAUACAUGCAAGUCGUGCGAGAAAGGGCUUCGGCCCCGGUAAAGCGGCGCACGGGUGAGUAACACGUAGGUCAUCUCCCCUCGAGUGGUGGAUAACCCUCCGAAAGGAGGACUAAUACAGCAUAAGACCACGACCUCGCUGAGGUUGCGGUCAAAGCGGACCUCUUCAUGAAAGUUCGCGCUUGAGGAUGAGCCUGCGGCCCAUCAGCUAGUUGGUAAGUAACGGCUUACCAAGGCAUAGACCGGGUAGCUGGUCUGAGAGGAUGAACAGCCACACUGGAACUGAAACACGGUCCAGACUCCUACGGGAGCAG
This 335-nucleotide ribosomal RNA is filed under the name uncultured Pseudomonadota bacterium. RNAcentral's name for it is "bacterial SSU rRNA". It matches the Rfam family "Bacterial small subunit ribosomal RNA", at positions 29 to 351 of the family's 1533-position model. The record is from RNAcentral. Lineage: Bacteria; Pseudomonadati; Pseudomonadota.